GCACUGUUGGUGAAAUGGUAUCACGGAACCCCCCCAAGGCUCCGGCCCGGGUUUGAUUCCCGGACAGUGCA
Transfer RNA from Allomyces macrogynus ATCC 38327, 71 nucleotides. It matches the Rfam family "tRNA". From Rfam's summary of the family: Transfer RNA (tRNA) molecules are approximately 80 nucleotides in length. Their secondary structure includes four short double-helical elements and three loops (D, anti-codon, and T loops). Further hydrogen bonds mediate the characteristic L-shaped molecular structure. tRNAs have two regions of fundamental functional importance: the anti-codon, which is responsible for specific mRNA codon recognition, and the 3' end, to which the tRNAs corresponding amino acid is attached (by aminoacyl-tRNA synthetases). tRNAs cope with the degeneracy of the genetic code in two manners: having more than one tRNA (with a specific anti-codon) for a particular amino acid; and 'wobble' base-pairing, i.e. permitting non-standard base-pairing at the 3rd anti-codon position. Lineage: Eukaryota; Fungi; Blastocladiomycota; Blastocladiomycetes; Blastocladiales; Blastocladiaceae. The record is from Rfam.